This 455-nucleotide ribosomal RNA is filed under the name Bacteroidetes bacterium oral taxon 272. RNAcentral's name for it is "bacterial SSU rRNA". It matches the Rfam family "Bacterial small subunit ribosomal RNA", at positions 28 to 472 of the family's 1533-position model. Lineage: Bacteria; Pseudomonadati; Bacteroidota. The record is from RNAcentral.
GAUGAACGCUAGCUACAGGCUUAACACAUGCAAGUCGUGGGGCAUCAUGAUGUAGUAAUACAUUGAUGGCGACCGGCGCACGGGUGAGUAACGCGUAUCCAACCUACCCUCCACUCAAGUAUAGGCUUCCGAAAGGGAGAUUAAUCCUUGAUAUCGUCAUUCUCUCUCCUGUUAGAAUGAUAAAAGGACAUCGUUUCGGUAGAGGAUGGGGAUGCGUUCCAUUAGGUAGUAGGUGGUUUAACAGGCCACCUAGCCGAUGAUGGAUAGGGGUUCUGAGAGGAAUAUCCCCCACACUGGUACUGAGAUACGGACCAGACUCCUACGGGAGGCAGCAGUGAGGAAUAUUGGUCAAUGGGCGCAAGCCUGAACCAGCCAUGUAGCGUGAAGGAUGACGGUUUUUUUGAUUGUAAACUUCUUUUCUGUGCGAUUAAAGUGUGGCAUUUAUGCCAUAUUGC